RNAcentral lists this small RNA (105 nucleotides) under Jannaschia donghaensis. RNAcentral's name for it is "Guanidine-I sequence". It matches the Rfam family "Guanidine-I riboswitch aptamer". From Rfam's summary of the family: This family represents a conserved RNA structure found upstream of the ykkC and yxkD genes in Bacillus subtilis and related genes in other bacteria. The function of this family is unclear although it has been suggested that it may function to switch on efflux pumps and detoxification systems in response to harmful environmental molecules. Lineage: Bacteria; Pseudomonadati; Pseudomonadota; Alphaproteobacteria; Rhodobacterales; Roseobacteraceae. The record is from Rfam by way of RNAcentral.
AGGCAGGAUGUCUAGGGUUCCGCCUCCGCCGAGGGUCAGGUCCGAGAGAUAUCGCCGUGCGGCGAAAGACCGGGCGGUACACGGCGGGGCAAAAUCCCGGGAGGC